CCUACGGGCGGCAGCAGUGGGGAAUAUUGGACAAUGGGCGAAAGCCUGAUCCAGCCAUGCCGCGUGUGUGAAGAAGGCCUUCGGGUUGUAAAGCACUUUCAGUGGGGAAGAAAGCCUUGGGGCUAAUACCCUCGAGGAAGGACAUCACCCACAGAAGAAGCACCGGCUAACUCCGUGCCAGCAGCCGCGGUAAUACGGAGGGGGCGAGCGUUAAUCGGAAUUACUGGGCGUAAAGCGCGCGUAGGCGGUCUGAUAAGCCGGUUGUGAAAGCCCCGGGCUCAACCUGGGAACGGCAUCCGGAACUGUCAGGCUAGAGUGCAGGAGAGGAAGGUAGAAUUCCCGGUGUAGCGGUGAAAUGCGUAGAGAUCGGGAGGAAUACCAGUGGCGAAGGCGGCCUUCUGGACUGACACUGACGCUGAGGUGCGAAAGCGUGGGUAGCAAACAGGAUUAGAUACCCUUGUAGUC
Molecule: ribosomal RNA, 465 nt
Filed under: Vreelandella stevensii
Lineage: Bacteria; Pseudomonadati; Pseudomonadota; Gammaproteobacteria; Oceanospirillales; Halomonadaceae
Description: partial 16S ribosomal RNA
Rfam family: Bacterial small subunit ribosomal RNA
Source: RNAcentral